UUCUAGGACUUAUAUUUUGCAGCUUAUGUGGUUGACAUGUUGCCAUUGGAUUAUUAGUGGCUUAUGUUAUGAUUAUUUUCAUGAUGAUAUCUGUUAAUAUAUUUUGGAGUAUUACUUUGGAUAUCAUGCUGCCUUUGGAUUAUUAGUGGUUAGUAUGAUUAUUUUCAUGAUGAUAUCUGUUAAUAUAUUUUGGAGUAUUACUUUGGAUAUCAUGCUGCCUUUGGAUUAUUAGUGGUUAGUAUGAUUAUUUUCAUGAUGAUAUCGGUUAAUAUAUUUUGGAGUAUUACUUUGGAUAUCAUGCUACCUUUGGAUUAUUAGUGGUUAGUAUGAUUAUUUUCAUGAUGAUAUCUGUUAAUAUAUUUUGGAGUAUUACUUUGGAUGUCAUGCUGCCUUUGGAUUAUUAGUGGUUAGUAUGAUUAUUUUCAUGAUGAUACCUGUUAUUAUAUUUUGGAGUAUUAGUUUGGGUAUCAUGCUGCCUUUGGAUUAUUAGUGGUUAGUAUGAUUAUUUUCAUGAUGCUAGUUGAUGUUCUGUUGCUUGGAGUAUUAUUUUCGGAAACGAUGUUUACAUGUGGAUCUUAGGCGAAUAGCUUUAUUCUUGUUAUUGGAGUAGUAGGAGUAUUGUUUUCGGAUUCAUCAUGGCAGUAUUGUUGUGCUACCCUUGGGGUAUUUUGAGAUGAUGAUAUUAUGUUUGGAUUAUUUGUUGGAUGUUGCUAUGAAUUGGAUUAUAGUUUGAUAG
Molecule: long non-coding RNA, 736 nt
Filed under: Triticum aestivum (bread wheat)
Lineage: Eukaryota; Viridiplantae; Streptophyta; Magnoliopsida; Poales; Poaceae
Description: long non-coding RNA (TAES_LNC025654)
Source: RNAcentral